UACGUAGGGUGCGAGCGUUAAUCGGAAUUACUGGGCGUAAAGCGUGCGCAGGCGGUUCGUUGUGUCGGCGGUGAAAGCCCCGGGCUUAACCUGGGAAUGGCCGUUGAAACUGGCGAACUGGAGUGUGGCAGAGGGGGGUGGAAUUCCGCGUGAAGCAGUGAAAUGCGUAGAGAUGCGGAGGAACACCGAUGGCGAAGGCAGCCCCCUGGGCUAACACUGACGCUCAGGCACGAAAGCGUGGGGAGCAAACAGG
Molecule: ribosomal RNA, 253 nt
Filed under: uncultured bacterium
Lineage: Bacteria
Description: partial 16S ribosomal RNA
Rfam family: Bacterial small subunit ribosomal RNA
Source: RNAcentral